GACAGAGGGUGCAAACGUUGUUCGGAAUUACUGGGCGUAAAGCGCGUGUAGGCGGCCAUCUAAGUCGGGCGUGAAAUCCCACGGCUCAACCGUGGAAGUGCACUCGAAACUGGAUGGCUAGAGUCCUGGAGAGGAAGGUGGAAUGCUUGGUGUAGAGGUGAAAUUCGUAGAUAUCAAGCGGAACACCGGUGGCGAAGGCGGCCUUCUGGACAGUGACUGACGCUGAGACGGCGAAAAGCGUGGGGAGCAAACAGGG
Molecule: ribosomal RNA, 256 nt
Filed under: uncultured bacterium
Lineage: Bacteria
Description: partial 16S ribosomal RNA
Rfam family: Bacterial small subunit ribosomal RNA
Source: RNAcentral